GACGAACGCUGGCGGCGUGCUUAACACAUGCAAGUCGAACGGAAAGGCCCUGCUUUUGUGGGGUGCUCGAGUGGCGAACGGGUGAGUAACACGUGAGUAACCUGCCCUUGACUUUGGGAUAACUUCAGGAAACUGGGGCUAAUACCGGAUAGGAGCUCCUGCUGCAUGGUGGGGGUUGGAAAGUUUCGGCGGUUGGGGAUGGACUCGCGGCUUAUCAGCUUGUUGGUAGGGUAGUGGCUUACCAAGGCUUUGACGGGUAGCCGGCCUGAGAGGGUGACCGGCCACAGUGGGACUGAGAUACGGCCCAGACUCCUACGGGAGGCAGCAGUGGGGAAUAUUGCACAAUGGGCGGAAGCCUGAUGCAGCAACGCCGCGUGCGGGAUGACGGCCUUCGGGUUGUAAACCGCUUUCGCCUGUGACGAAGCGUGAGUGACGGUAAUGGGUAAAGAAGCACCGGCUAACUACGUG
This 468-nucleotide ribosomal RNA is filed under the name uncultured bacterium. Its description in RNAcentral is "partial 16S ribosomal RNA". It matches the Rfam family "Bacterial small subunit ribosomal RNA", at positions 28 to 507 of the family's 1533-position model. The record is from RNAcentral.